GGACUACGGGGGUAUCUAAUCCCGUUUGCGCCCCAGGGCUUCGUCCCUCACCGUCGGAUUCGUUCUAGUGAGACGCCUUCGCCACCGGUGGUCCUUCUAGGAUUACAGGAUUUUACCCCUACCCCAGAAGUACCUCUCACCUCUCCCGAUCCCAAGUCUUGCAGUCUCCCCGGACUUCGAACAGUUAAGCUGGUCGAUUUACCCAAGGAUUUACAAAACCGGCUACGGACGUUUUAGGCUCAAUAAUAUCGACCACCACUCGGGCCGCGGGUAUUACCGCGGCGGCUGGCACCCGUCUUACCCGGCCCUUACUUCUCUGGUUUUUUAGACCAAAGAACAGCCAACACAAUGUGCUGGCACUUGGAAUUCCCUCAUCGGGGUUUCCCCCAUUGUGAAGUUUUCGCGACUGCUGCCCCCCAUAGG
This 423-nucleotide ribosomal RNA is filed under the name uncultured euryarchaeote. Its description in RNAcentral is "partial 16S ribosomal RNA". The record is from RNAcentral. Lineage: Archaea; Methanobacteriati; Methanobacteriota.